GGGGGUGUAGUCUAGUGAUAGAACAAUUGUCUAGCAUGCUGGAGGCCCUGGGUUCGGUUCCCAGCACCAUCA
This 72-nucleotide transfer RNA is filed under the name Neotoma lepida (desert woodrat). It matches the Rfam family "tRNA". Rfam says of the family: Transfer RNA (tRNA) molecules are approximately 80 nucleotides in length. Their secondary structure includes four short double-helical elements and three loops (D, anti-codon, and T loops). The record is from Rfam by way of RNAcentral. Lineage: Eukaryota; Metazoa; Chordata; Mammalia; Rodentia; Cricetidae.